CAUUUUCUGUCACAGGAAAUCUGGUGUUGAGGAACUUUUGCUUUCUCUCCCUUCCUAGGUGGAGGAUAAAGGGAAAUUGAAAUGUCAGAUUAUCCACUCGUGACACGGUCAGCUUCAGACAGAGGAGAAGCUCUUGUCCUUCAAACCAACCUCUCUCCAAUCAGCCACUGAUUACCAUCAUCUACACCAGGCUGCCUGGCCUCAUUGAGGCCAGUUAGAGGUGGAACUGCAUGAACCAACCUCAGAGGCCACACUUUUUUUAUUUAAGGAGCUCUGAAGAUAACUCUGUGCCCUGUACACUCAUGUUAAUCCAGUAAAUUUAGUAAAUGUGUUUAGCUAAAAGAAAAUGAUAAUAUCUUAAAGAUAGCAUUGAGUAUGAUUUGGGGGAAGGAUUUGGUCUAUUGAGG
Molecule: long non-coding RNA, 407 nt
Filed under: Cyanistes caeruleus (blue tit)
Lineage: Eukaryota; Metazoa; Chordata; Aves; Passeriformes; Paridae
Description: lncRNA (ENSCCEG00000020714.1)
Source: RNAcentral